UGUGUCUAUGGUGAAAUGGAUUAUCAUAGGGGUUUUCUACACCUUUGUUCUGGGUUCGAAUCCUAGUAGGCACGUAAA
This 78-nucleotide transfer RNA is filed under the name Bacillus phage vB_BanS_Skywalker. Its description in RNAcentral is "tRNA-Arg". It matches the Rfam family "tRNA". From Rfam's summary of the family: Transfer RNA (tRNA) molecules are approximately 80 nucleotides in length. Their secondary structure includes four short double-helical elements and three loops (D, anti-codon, and T loops). Lineage: Duplodnaviria; Heunggongvirae; Uroviricota; Caudoviricetes. The record is from RNAcentral.